UGGGGAAUUUUGGACAAUGGGCGAAAGCCUGAUCCAGCAAUGCCGCGUGUGUGAAGAAGGCCUUCGGGUUGUAAAGCACUUUUGUCCGGAAAGAAAUCCUUGGCUCUAAUACAGUCGGGGGAUGACGGUACCGGAAGAAUAAGCACCGGCUAACUACGUGCCAGCAGCCGCGGUAAUACGUAGGGUGCAAGCGUUAAUCGGAAUUACUGGACGUAAAGCGUGCGCAGGCGGUUUGCUAAGACCGAUGUGAAAUCCCCGGGCUCAACCUGGGAACUGCAUUGGUGACUGGCAGGCUAGAGUAUGGCAGAGGGGGGUAGAAUUCCACGUGUAGCAGUGAAAUGCGUAGAGAUGUGGAGGAAUACCGAUGGCGAAGGCAGCCCCCUGGGCCAAUACUGACGCUCAUGCACGAAAAGCGUGGGGAGCAAAACAGGAUUAGAUACCCUGGUAGUCCACGCCCUAAAACGAUGUCAACUAGUUGUUGGGGAUUCAUUUCCUUAGUAACGUAGCUAACGCGUGAAGUUGACCGCCUGGGGAGUACGGUCGCAAGAUUAAAACUCAAAGGAAUUGACGGGGUCAUAGCUGUUUCCU
RNAcentral lists this ribosomal RNA (588 nucleotides) under uncultured bacterium. RNAcentral's name for it is "partial 16S ribosomal RNA". It matches the Rfam family "Bacterial small subunit ribosomal RNA", at positions 355 to 1375 of the family's 1533-position model. The record is from RNAcentral.